GCGGGGUUAGCUCAGCUGGUCAGAGCGCCACCCUUACAAGGUGGAAGCCGCAGGUUCGAGUCCUGCACCCCGCACCA
Molecule: transfer RNA, 77 nt
Filed under: Bacillota bacterium
Lineage: Bacteria; Bacillati; Bacillota
Also listed under: 2 other names
Description: Firmicutes bacterium (compost metagenome) tRNA-Val
Rfam family: tRNA
About the family: Transfer RNA (tRNA) molecules are approximately 80 nucleotides in length. Their secondary structure includes four short double-helical elements and three loops (D, anti-codon, and T loops).
Source: RNAcentral